UCUACUCAGGAAAUGCAAUUCGCUUGGAGUUUCUUGUAAAUCUAAACCUGUUAUGCAAAGUGUGAUGAGAAGUUCCAGAUAAUUCCAUGUGACUGUUCAUCUCUGAUUUGUCUUCCUUACAACCUGACCUAUUUCUGGAAUAUCAGAAUGAAGGUGUUAUGUAACUAAUGGCUUCUGUUAGCAUCUACACAUCACUCUUUAAUCUUCCUCACUGAAACUGUGGUACAGUGAUGUAUUUUGUCAUGUGCUGUAACUGGGUAACGCAUCUUAAUAAUAAUGCUGAAAGCAUCUCUUCUUUCUGAAAUGAUAAACAAUUUGACAGUUGGUGGUAUUCAUGCUCCUGCCUUUAAAAACAACAUCCUCUACCACCACCUCCCUAAAAAAAGAA
Molecule: non-coding RNA, 388 nt
Organism: Zonotrichia albicollis (white-throated sparrow)
Lineage: Eukaryota; Metazoa; Chordata; Aves; Passeriformes; Passerellidae
Source: RefSeq, a predicted model, not a curated record